Molecule: non-coding RNA, 972 nt
Filed under: Erinaceus europaeus (western European hedgehog)
Lineage: Eukaryota; Metazoa; Chordata; Mammalia; Eulipotyphla; Erinaceidae
Description: 12S ribosomal RNA
Rfam family: Bacterial small subunit ribosomal RNA
Source: RNAcentral
UAUAAUUAAAGGUCUGGUCCCAGCCUUCCUAUUUUCUAUUAGUAGAAUUACACAUGCAAGUAUCAGCUACCCAGUGCGAAUGCCCUCUAACCCUACCAUUAAUAGGUGUAAAGGAGCGGAUAUCAAGUACACACAUAUGUUGCUAAUGACAUCUUGCUUAACCACACCCCCACGGGAAACAGCAGUGAUAAAUAUUGAGCUAUAAACGAAAGUUUGACUAAGCCAUAUUAAUUUAGGGUUGGUAAAUCUCGUGCCAGCCACCGCGGUCAUACGAUUAACCCAUGAGAAUAGGAAAUCGGCGUAAAGAGUGUUUAGGAUAUUAAUGUAAUGAAAUUAAAAAAUGACUUAGCUGUAAAAAGCUCAUUUCAUAAAUAAAAACAUCUACAAAAGUGAUUUCAUAGGAUCUUAUUACACGUGAGCUAAGACCCAAACUAGGAUUAGAUACCCUAUUAUGCUUAGCCCUAAACUUAGACAGUUACUUAACAAAACUGUACGCCAGAGAACUACGAGCUACAGCUUAAAACUCAAAGGACUUGGCGGUGCUUUAUACCCCCUAGAGGAGCCUGUUCUGUAAUCGAUAAACCCCGAUCAACCUCACCAAUCUUUGCUAAUUCAGCCUUUAUACCGCCAUCUUCAGCGAACCCUAAAAAGGAAUAAAAGUAAGCACAAUGAUUCAAACAUAAAUAAGUUAGGUCAAGGUGCAGCCUAUAGAUUGGAAUGAAAUGGGCUACAUUCUUUAUUAAAAAGUAUAACGGAAAUUAUUAUGAAACUAAAAAUUGAAGGAGGAUUUAGCAGUAAAUUAAGAGUAGAGUGCUUAAUUGAAUUUGGCAAUGAAGCAUGCACACACCGCCCGUCACCCUCUUCAAGCAUAUUAAGUCACCAACCUAUAUAAUUAAUGUUAUAAUGAUAAUCACAUGCAAGAAGAGAUAAGUCGUAACAAGGUAAGUAUACUGGAAAGUGUACUUGGAUUAU